This 253-nucleotide ribosomal RNA is filed under the name uncultured bacterium. RNAcentral's name for it is "partial 16S ribosomal RNA". It matches the Rfam family "Bacterial small subunit ribosomal RNA", at positions 524 to 776 of the family's 1533-position model. The record is from RNAcentral.
UACGGAGGAUGCAAGCGUUAUCCGGAAUGAUUGGGCGUAAAGCGUCCGCAGGUGGCUGUGUAAGUCUGCUGUUAAAGAGUCUAGCUCAACUAGAUAAGAGCAGUGGAAACUACACGGCUAGAGUACGUUCGGGGCAGAGGGAAUUCCUGGUGUAGCGGUGAAAUGCGUAGAGAUCAGGAAGAACACCGGUGGCGAAGGCGCUCUGCUAGGCCGUAACUGACACUGAGGGACGAAAGCUAGGGGAGCGAGUGGG